GCGUUGGUGGUGUAGUGGCAAGCAUAGUUGCCCUCCAAGCAGUUGACCUGGGUUCGAUUCCCGGUGUCCUAGCGGA
This 76-nucleotide transfer RNA is filed under the name Acropora cervicornis. Its description in RNAcentral is "tRNA-Gly". The stretch from base 8 to 64 matches the Rfam family "tRNA", at positions 8 to 63 of the family's 71-position model. From Rfam's summary of the family: Transfer RNA (tRNA) molecules are approximately 80 nucleotides in length. Their secondary structure includes four short double-helical elements and three loops (D, anti-codon, and T loops). The record is from RNAcentral. Lineage: Eukaryota; Metazoa; Cnidaria; Anthozoa; Scleractinia; Acroporidae.